This 1523-nucleotide ribosomal RNA is filed under the name Escherichia coli. Its description in RNAcentral is "partial 23S ribosomal RNA". It matches the Rfam family "Bacterial large subunit ribosomal RNA", at positions 1 to 1560 of the family's 2925-position model. Lineage: Bacteria; Pseudomonadati; Pseudomonadota; Gammaproteobacteria; Enterobacterales; Enterobacteriaceae. The record is from RNAcentral.
GGGUUGUGAGGUUAAGCGACUAAGCGUACACGGUGGAUGCCCUGGCAGUCAGAGGCGAUGAAGGACGUGCUAAUCUGCGAUAAGCGUCGGUGAGGUGAUAUGAACCGUUAUAACCGGCGAUUUCCGAAUGGGGAAACCCAGUGUGUUUCGACACACUAUCAUUAACUGAAUCCAUAGGUUAAUGAGGCGAACCGGGGGAACUGAAACAUCUAAGUACCCCGAGGAAAAGAAAUCAACCGAGAUUCCCCCAGUAGCGGCGAGCGAACGGGGAGGAGCCCAGAGCCUGAAUCAGUGUGUGUGUUAGUGGAAGCGUCUGGAAAGGCGUGCGAUACAGGGUGACAGCCCCGUACACAAAAAUGCACAUAUUGUGAGCUCGAUGAGUAGGGCGGGACACGUGGUAUCCUGUCUGAAUAUGGGGGGACCAUCCUCCAAGGCUAAAUACUCCUGACUGACCGAUAGUGAACCAGUACCGUGAGGGAAAGGCGAAAAGAACCCCGGCGAGGGGAGUGAAAAAGAACCUGAAACCGUGUACGUACAAGCAGUGGGAGCCUCUUAAUGGGGUGACUGCGUACCUUUUGUAUAAUGGGUCAGCGACUUAUAUUCUGUAGCAAGGUUAACCGAAUAGGGGAGCCGAAGGGAAACCGAGUCUUAACUGGGCGUUAAGUUGCAGGGUAUAGACCCGAAACCCGGUGAUCUAGCCAUGGGCAGGUUGAAGGUUGGGUAACACUAACUGGAGGACCGAACCGACUAAUGUUGAAAAAUUAGCGGAUGACUUGUGGCUGGGGGUGAAAGGCCAAUCAAACCGGGAGAUAGCUGGUUCUCCCCGAAAGCUAUUUAGGUAGCGCCUCGUGAAUUCAUCUCCGGGGGUAGAGCACUGUUUCGGCAAGGGGGUCAUCCCGACUUACCAACCCGAUGCAAACUGCGAAUACCGGAGAAUGUUAUCACGGGAGACACACGGCGGGUGCUAACGUCCGUCGUGAAGAGGGAAACAACCCAGACCGCCAGCUAAGGUCCCAAAGUCAUGGUUAAGUGGGAAACGAUGUGGGAAGGCCCAGACAGCCAGGAUGUUGGCUUAGAAGCAGCCAUCAUUUAAAGAAAGCGUAAUAGCUCACUGGUCGAGUCGGCCUGCGCGGAAGAUGUAACGGGGCUAAACCAUGCACCGAAGCUGCGGCAGCGACACUAUGUGUUGUUGGGUAGGGGAGCGUUCUGUAAGCCUGUGAAGGUGGCCUGUGAGGGUUGCUGGAGGUAUCAGAAGUGCGAAUGCUGACAUAAGUAACGAUAAAGCGGGUGAAAAGCCCGCUCGCCGGAAGACCAAGGGUUCCUGUCCAACGUUAAUCGGGGCAGGGUGAGUCGACCCCUAAGGCGAGGCCGAAAGGCGUAGUCGAUGGGAAACAGGUUAAUAUUCCUGUACUUGGUGUUACUGCGAAGGGGGGACGGAGAAGGCUAUGUUGGCCGGGCGACGGUUGUCCCGGUUUAAGCGUGUAGGCUGGUUUUCCAGGCAAAUCCGGAAAACCAAGGCUGAG